CCAAACUUCUACUUCAUCGGCUUUUCCCCAAUGCCCGGUACUCAUUGUGGAUUGAUGCUAAACUCGAGCUGGUUGUGGAUCCCAUUCAAAUUCUCGAAGGUCUGUCUGUAUUUGUUAUCACUUUCUAUGAUGAAUUGCUUAACUGGUCGUCUAACCUCAAUCCACACUCUAGCUUAAACUGAAAUUGUUGUCUAAGUGAAGCUUCUUCUGCUACUGUUGCAGAUUUUUGUGGAGGAAAAAUGCAAGCUUUGCGAUAUCAAGGCAUUACAAGCGGUUUGAUGUGUUUGUUGAAGCAGAGGCUAAUAAAGCCGCUGGGAAAUACGAUAAUUCUUCU
This 334-nucleotide long non-coding RNA is filed under the name Salvia miltiorrhiza (redroot sage). RNAcentral's name for it is "long non-coding RNA (SMIL_LNC001706)". Lineage: Eukaryota; Viridiplantae; Streptophyta; Magnoliopsida; Lamiales; Lamiaceae. The record is from RNAcentral.